RNA transcript from Manihot esculenta (cassava), 2205 nucleotides. It is a transcript of the gene named 2,3-dimethylmalate lyase, with no coding region annotated. NCBI's taxonomy places the organism in Eukaryota, Viridiplantae, Streptophyta, Magnoliopsida, Malpighiales, Euphorbiaceae. The record is from RefSeq and is a predicted model, not a curated record. The transcript is spliced from 10 exons.
UUUCUAUACAAACAAACAGAGGUGAGGUUGAAACGAGCCUCAACUAUUGAUCGCUUGCAAUGAAGCCUCUAGUGUCUGGAGUUUGCAGCUGCAGAGACUAUUCAGUCUCUCUUGCUCACUCCUGCACCUUCUCCAAUUCAUUCCCAAACUCAAAUGUCAAAUCCCAACGGUCAUUUUUCUUCCCUUACAAUCUAACAUUUCAAACUUUAAAAACCACUUGCCCUGCUGCAAGGGUACCUCAAAGCGUUGUAACUUGCUCUGCUGAGAGAACUUCUCCGGCCAAGUCACUACGAUUGAUUCUUGACUCGCCUGGUAUCCACCAGGGCCCUGCUUGUUUCGAUGCUCUUAGUGCUAAGCUUGUGGAGAGAGCAGGAUUCAAUUACUGCUUCACUAGUGGAUUUUCAAUAUCAGCUGCUAGAUUGGCAUUGCCUGAUACUGGAUUUAUUUCCUAUGGGGAAAUGGUGGAUCAGGGGCAACUAAUCACUCAAGCUGUGUCAAUUCCUGUAAUUGGAGAUGGUGAUAAUGGCUAUGGAAAUGCCAUGAAUGUCAAAAGAACUGUCAAGGGAUAUAUAAAAGCUGGCUUUGCAGGAAUCAUUCUUGAAGAUCAGGUGUCUCCGAAAGCUUGUGGUCAUACACGUGGUAGGAAAGUGGUGUCCAGAGAGGAAGCAGUGAUGCGGAUAAAAGCAGCCGUUGAUGCUCGGAAAGAGACUGGCUUAGACAUCAUUAUUGUUGCACGAACUGAUUCUCGACAAGCAGUGUCCUUGGAUGAGUCACUUUGGAGGUCAAGAGCUUUUGCUGACGCUGGAGCAGAUGUUCUUUUUAUAGAUGCACUAGCUUCAAGAGAAGAAAUGAAGUCUUUCUGUGAAAUCUCUCCCCUAGUUCCAAAAAUGGCCAACAUGCUUGAAGGAGGGGGAAAAACUCCAAUACUUAAUCCAUUGGAACUCGAGGAAUUGGGAUAUAAACUUGUGGCUUACCCACUUUCCUUGAUCGGGGUAUCUAUACAAGCGAUGCAGGAUUCACUAACUGCCAUUAAAGGAGGUCGGAUUCCUCCUCCUGGAACCAUGCCAACUUUUGAAGAAAUAAAGGAAAUCUUGGGUUUCAACACUUAUUAUGAAGAAGAGAAGCGGUAUGCUACCAGCACAGGCCAGAUGCUUAGGCCAGGAGGUUAUUCAUCAGCAAGCAGUAAUGUAUAUGAUAUACAACGGAGAAUUCCGGAUGAUACAGAGCAGAGAAAUCAAAGUCCUCAAGAUCCUGUUGUUGAAGUGAUAACUCCUGAUGUAUACAAUAACUAUGGUGCAGAUGGUUCAAGGGAUCCUUUUUCUAGGAUCUGGUCUCGGACAUUGAGAAUUAAGAUAACUGGAAGAGAUGGAUUUGAAAAACUUGAUGUUAGGAUUCCUGCUGGGUUUUUGGAAGGUAUCACAAAUAUUGUUCCAGCUUUGGGUGGGGUGAACAUCAAAGAGCUAUUGGAUGAUGCAGCUGGGGAAGUAGGUGGCAAGUUGUUGUUAGAUUUUAAUGAUACCAUUGGUGAUAGAAUUCAAGUAUUUUUAGAAUAAAUCUUUUUCCCAAGACAACAGAAAAAGCAUAGAGCGGUGUGAACAUCAAAGAGCUCUUAGAUGAUGCAGUUGGGAAGUAGGAGACGAGUUUUUCUGGGAUUUUAAUGAUUCCAUUGCUGACAAAAUUCAAGUGUUUCUAGAAUAAUUUUUUUCCCCAAGCAAUGGAAAAGAUCAAUCUUGUGAGGAACCAACUCUGGAGCUAGUUUCCACGUGCUCUGAAGGGAAGCAGUUGACAGAUGAUAAGCUGAUUCUUAAAGUGGUAGCAAAUAAAAGGUAUAAUUCGUGGGUUUUGAAGACUACAAUGGAAAAAGUCUGGAAUCCGGAAGGUCUAUUUAUUUUUAUCUUUGAAAAUAAGGAGGCGAGGACUUUUAUUCUAGAAAAUGGUUACUAGACAAAGCCAUUUAUGAGAUUGAUUUCUCUACAAAUGCUUAUUGGAUUUAGAUAUAUGAGCUCCCCCCAAAUCUUUGGAACGCAGCAUAUGCUGAAGCCAUUGGAAGUUUAUUCAAGGGAUUCUUUCUGCUGGAUUGAGCAUCUGAAGCAAAGGAGGGUUGGGCUAUCUAUAUGAGAAUUAAGGUCUGGAUUGAGGUAAGUAAACCUUUAUUAACUGACCUUUUCAUUCUAUAAAGUUCAUUUGAGAAGAUUUGAGUUAAAA